RNAcentral lists this ribosomal RNA (735 nucleotides) under Triticum aestivum (bread wheat). Its description in RNAcentral is "partial small subunit ribosomal RNA". The record is from RNAcentral. Lineage: Eukaryota; Viridiplantae; Streptophyta; Magnoliopsida; Poales; Poaceae.
AUGGAUUCCAUCAUGGCUAACGGGACAUGGGAGAUCACUGACCGUCCCUAUGGUUGCAAACCACUGGGAUGUAAGUGGGUGUUCAAAAAGAAGCUUAGGCCCGAUGGUUUCGUUGUUAAUGAGGCUGACAAAUGUGUAUACUAUCGCCAUGGUGGGGGCGAAGGAGUUAUACUGUGCUUGUAUGUUGAUGACAUACUGAUAUUCGGAACAAACCUCAAAGUCAUUGAGGAGGUCAAAUCGUUUCUAUCUCAGAACUUUGAGAUGAAAGACCUUGGUGUGGCUGAUGUUAUCUUGAACAUCAAGCUACUGAGAGAUAAUGAGGGUGGGAUCACACUUCUGCAAUCCCAUUACGUUGAGAAGGUGUUGAGUCGUUUUGGAUAUUCGGACUGUACUAUGAACUAUGGACUUCACUAUACCGGAUACCCGUCGGUACUUGAAGGGUAUAGUGAUGCGAAUUGGAUCUCUGAUGCUGAUGAGAUGAAGGCCACAACUGGGUAUAUGUUUACUCUUGGAGGUGGCGCUGUUUCCUGGAAGUCUUGCAAGCAAACGAUCUUAACGAGAUCGACAAUGGAAGCAGAAUUAACGGCAUUAGACACAUCUGGUGUUGAAGCGAGAUGGCUUCGAGAUCUUUUGAUGGACUUGCCAUUGGUUGAUAAACCGGUUCCGGCUAUCCUUAUGAACUGUGACAAUCAGACUGUCAUCACCAAGGUGAAGAGUUCAAAGGACAACAUGAAG